This 254-nucleotide long non-coding RNA is filed under the name Phoenix dactylifera (date palm). RNAcentral describes it as "long non-coding RNA (PDAC_LNC018184)". The record is from RNAcentral. Lineage: Eukaryota; Viridiplantae; Streptophyta; Magnoliopsida; Arecales; Arecaceae.
UCCCUUCCCUUUUUUUUUCUUUUCUUUUCUUCUCCUCCUCUCUAGAAUCUUCUCCUGUCUUCUUUCUUCCUUCCCCCCUUUCUUUCUUCUUUCUUUUUCUUUCUCCUCCUCCUCUUCUCCCGACUUCUCCUUCCCCCCCUUUCUUUCUUCUUCUUUCUUCUCCCGCGAAGGGAGGUCGCAAGCUCGGGAGAAGCCAAGUCGAGGCCGGCGGCGCCCGCGACGGCCGACCCUCUCCUUCUUCCCGCGGAGGAGGC